AAGUUGGGGGGUGUUGUCCUGGCCGAAGUUGAGGGGUGUAUACCGUCUUAAGUAAGACGGUGAACUGUUUACCGUCUUAUCGAGGGCACAGCAGUUCCAAAGACGGAGAUGUAUUCGCUCUAAAGACGGUGAAUAGUUCACUGUCUCAUGAAGGCGGUGAACCAUCUACCGUCUUCAUGAGAAAUGUGCAUAGACGGUGAACGAUUCACCGUCUUUACGAGAAAAAUCCGACCUGGCGCCGACGUGGCGAAAGGAGGGUUAGUUUUACAAAUAAAAUUUUCANGACAGAGGAGAAGCUCGCGCGCGGGUGAGUGAGAGAGAAAGGAAAGGGGCUCGGGCGGGGUAGGGUAUACUGCUUAAAGGCGGUGAAUGGUUCACCGCUUUUAAAAGCGGUGAACCAUUCACCGUCUUUAAAAGCGGUGAACCAUUCACCGUCUUUAAAAGCGGUGAACUAUUCACCGCCUUUAAAAGCGGUAUUUAAUGGUCCCAGCACACGUGACGGAGGUAUUUGAUGGGCCCACAAAUGCGGUGAAUGGUUUACCGCAUAUAUAUGCGGUAAACCAUUCACCGCAUUUUUCUGCUUGCUGACCUGGCCGAUUUGGAGACUAUUUUUACAAAUAAAUUUUAAGGAGGCCUAUUUUUGUAAAUAAAAGUUUCAAGAAGACUAUUUAUAAANUUACGAGAAAAAUCCGACCUGGCGCCGACGUGGCGAAAGGAGGGUUAGUUUUACAAAUAAAAUUUUCAGAGGGUUAUUUUGCCAAUUACAAAAUUUCACAGGGUUAUUUUCGAAAAAAGUCCCUCUUCCGUCUUCACCGUUCGUCCUCCAUGAUCUUCAUCUUUUCUUUUUCUCUUUUUCUUAUGUUUUUUUUAGCAGAAUAUAAGGGAUUUUUUUUCUUGAGCUUCUAAUUAGAAUUUUAUGUAAAUUUUCUUACAGAAAUUUAGGUAGAUUGUAUCCCGCUCAACUUCCUCCCUGUCGAGCCAAAUAUUUUUGCGAGGUAGCAAUAAUCGAGCCAACGGGCCGAAAGCGAGCUAGCUCGAAUAAAUUGCGAGGCGAUCACGAGCUGGACUUUUCGAG
RNAcentral lists this long non-coding RNA (1075 nucleotides) under Ananas comosus (pineapple). Its description in RNAcentral is "long non-coding RNA (ACOM_LNC028126)". Lineage: Eukaryota; Viridiplantae; Streptophyta; Magnoliopsida; Poales; Bromeliaceae. The record is from RNAcentral.